CCUGGUUUUAUGUUGCUUCCCUUUUCCCCUGGCUGGGUCGUAACAUAAAGACUAUAAAAUAUUGUGACUGGUUAGACAGAGCCAUUACUGCUUCAUAUACCCAGAAACCAACAUGGCAGCUGUGAACUGACACCUGGCUCUGUGAGCAGUCCCGUCACUAAGCGAAAUACUUGGUGAGUAAAAUUUCCUGAGCUGUUGUAUCUUCUUUACUUGCAGAAAUCAACUGCCUGGUACUGGAUGUGAGUCCCACAGCGUCAGAGGUUUUACUUUCUCAGCAAAGUGGUUCCACAAAGGGUUUAUAUCUUGAUGCUUCAUGUGAACAGUGCAACAUCUACUGGCCUGAAUGCAAAAUGGGCAAAUACAAAUGUUUGUACGUCACAAAUUGAAUAGUUAUCUACUGAAAUGCGCAUGCGCACCAAACCCGACCUGUCCUGUGUUGUAAUACCACUUUGUGACACUAGACGCUGUGUGAGUCAGUGGAGCGUCAAGUCUGCCCUCAGUCCCACGAAGAAGAACAACUUCCGGCAGCUAUUGACGUUAGCAUCACAGAAACACAGGAAUGGCUGAACCUCCUAAAAGACGAUAUUCAUCUGUAUCCCCAAGCACCGCUCCCGACAAGAAACCACGUUCAACGGCAAAGAAAAGAAGCAACACGAGUAAAUCUGGAUGUGACUUUCCACCGCUGGAGAAGCUCCUGAGAGGAAAGAGAUGCGGUUUGAUGCCGAGCUCGCAACUUUCCUGUUAGCCUGGACCUGAGCCAGUACAGGUGCAAUACCGCCUCCACCUGUCUCACCUACGGCAGAGAGUCCAGACACAGUGAGGAGGGUCCAGAACCAGAAGUCCAGUCUAAUCUUCACCAGCGAUGGAGCAGCACCUGCCUUUUCUUCUGCAUCCGGCCUCAUCAAUCACAUUACAUCAACACCUUGAGGGAUGGCAGAAUCCACCUCGGGCCAGAACCACACCUUCCGGAAACCAGCAAGAAAUGGUAAGUCAUGCG
Seriola aureovittata is the source of this 997-nucleotide long non-coding RNA. RefSeq lists it as uncharacterized. The record is from RefSeq and is a predicted model, not a curated record. The transcript is spliced from 5 exons. Lineage: Eukaryota; Metazoa; Chordata; Actinopteri; Carangiformes; Carangidae.